GACGAACGCUGGCGGCGUGCUUAACACAUGCAAGUCGAACGGAAAGACCCUGCUUUUGUGGGGUGCUCGAGUGGCGAACGGGUGAGUAACACGUGAGUAACCUGCCCUUGACUUUGGGAUAACUUCAGGAAACUGGGGCUAAUACCGGAUAGGAGCUCCUGCUGCAUGGUGGGGGUUGGAAAGUUUCGGCGGUUGGGGAUGGACUCGCGGCUUAUCAGCUUGUUGGUGGGGUAGUGGCUUACCAAGGCUUUGACGGGUAGCCGGCCUGAGAGGGUGACCGGGCACAUUGGGACGGAGAUACGGCCCAGACUCCGACGGGAGGCAGCAGUGGGGAAUAUUGCACAAUGGGCGGAAGCCUGAUGCAGCAACGCCGCGUGCGGGAUGACGGCCUUCGGGUUGUAAACCGCUUGCGCCUGUGACGAAGCGUGAGUGACGGUAAUGGGUAAAGAAGCACCGGCUAACUACGUG
RNAcentral lists this ribosomal RNA (468 nucleotides) under uncultured bacterium. RNAcentral describes it as "partial 16S ribosomal RNA". It matches the Rfam family "Bacterial small subunit ribosomal RNA", at positions 28 to 507 of the family's 1533-position model. The record is from RNAcentral.